AUUGAACGCUGGCGGCAUGCCUUACACAUGCAAGUCGAACGGUAACAGGUCUUCGGAUGCUGACGAGUGGCGAACGGGUGAGUAAUACAUCGGAACGUGCCCGAUCGUGGGGGAUAACGCAGCGAAAGCUGUGCUAAUACCGCAUACGAUCUACGGAUGAAAGCGGGGGAUCGCAAGACCUCGCGCGGACGGAGCGGCCGAUGGCAGAUUAGGUAGUUGGUGGGAUAAAAGCUUACCAAGCCGACGAUCUGUAGCUGGUCUGAGAGGACGACCAGCCACACUGGGACUGAGACACGGCCCAGACUCCUACGGGAGGCAGCAGUGGGAAUUUUGGACAAUGGGCGCAAGCCUGUUCCAGCCAUGCCGCGUGCAGGAUGAAGGCCUUCGGGUUGUAAACGUGCUUUGUACGGACGAAAAGUUACUCUCUAAUACAGGGGCGAA
This 441-nucleotide ribosomal RNA is filed under the name uncultured bacterium. RNAcentral's name for it is "bacterial SSU rRNA". It matches the Rfam family "Bacterial small subunit ribosomal RNA", at positions 30 to 472 of the family's 1533-position model. The record is from RNAcentral.